RNAcentral lists this ribosomal RNA (949 nucleotides) under wastewater metagenome. RNAcentral's name for it is "bacterial SSU rRNA". It matches the Rfam family "Bacterial small subunit ribosomal RNA", at positions 8 to 948 of the family's 1533-position model. The record is from RNAcentral.
AGAGUUUGAUCCUGGCUCAGAAUGAACGCUGGCGGCGUGCCUAACACAUGCAAGUCGGAUGUGCCCGCAAGGGUGCAUGGCAGACGGGUGAGUAACGCGUGGGGAAUCUACCUCUUUGUGGGGAAUAACGCUCCGAAAGGAGUGGUAAUACCGCAUGAGACCAAUGACUGGAAUGUUGUUGGUGAAACCUGGGGACCGCAAGGCCUGGGGCAAGGAGAGGAUCCUGCGUCUGAUUAGCUAGUUGGCGGGGUAACGGCCCACCAAGGCGACGAUCAGUAGCCGGCCUGAGAGGGUGAUCGGCCACACUGGAACUGAGACACGGUCCAGACUCCUACGGGAGGCAGCAGUGGGGAAUUUUGCGCAAUGGACGAAAGUCUGACGCAGCAACGCCGCGUGGGUGAUGAAGGUCUUCGGAUCGUAAAACCCUGUCGUCAGGGACGAAGGUUUGGGGGUUAAUAACCCUUAAGCUUGACGGUACCUGGAGAGGAAGCCCCGGCUAACUCUGUGCCAGCAGCCGCGGUAAUACAGAGGGGGCAAGCGUUAUUCGGAAUUAUUGGGCGUAAAGGGCGCGUAGGCGGUUUUUUAAGUCAGAUGUGUAAUCCCCGAGCUCAACUUGGGAACUGCAUCUGAGACUGGGAGGCUAGAGUACUGGAGAGGGUGGUAGAAUUCCACGUGUAGCGGUGAAAUGCGUAGAGAUGUGGAGGAAUACCAGUGGCGAAGGCGGCCACCUGGACAGUAACUGACGCUGAGGCGCGAAAGUGUGGGUAGCAAACAGGAUUAGAUACCCUGGUAGUCCACGCUGUAAACGAUGAACACUUGGUGUGGUGGGAGUUGACCCCUGCCGUGCCGGAGCUAACGCGUUAAGUGUUCCGCCUGGGGAGUACGGUCGCAAGGCUGAAACUCAAAGGAAUUGACGGGGGCCCGCACAAGCGGUGGAGCAUGUGGUUUA